GCUUGAUGAAUGAGAAGAAAGACUUUAAUUCAAGAUUAAUUACCUAAAGUAAGAAUGCAAGGAUAUAAUAAAGAAAUAAAGAGAAACAAUAAAGCACACCACAAACACAAGAAUUUAUAGUGGUUCGGUGCCAACCUUGCACCUACAUCUACUCCCCAAGCUCCUACUUGGGAAUUCCAAUCCACUAUACUUGUAUUCAACCCGAAUACAAACGUCGGAAACUCCGACACUAGCUAUCCCAAGCUAGUCCACUUGUUUCCUGGGUACAAGCCAACCCAAAACACUCCGAUUUCAGGUUCGGAUCAACCUUCCCUUGUUUUGGAAACCCUCCAAAAACAAGAACAAUUACUCACAAGGAGUAAGA
This 364-nucleotide long non-coding RNA is filed under the name Elaeis guineensis (African oil palm). RNAcentral describes it as "long non-coding RNA (EGUI_LNC053217)". Lineage: Eukaryota; Viridiplantae; Streptophyta; Magnoliopsida; Arecales; Arecaceae. The record is from RNAcentral.